UCCGAAUUAGCUCAGUUGGUAGAGCACCUGACUGUUAAUCAGGUUGUCGCCGGUUCGAGCCCGGCAUUCGGAG
Transfer RNA from Weissella oryzae SG25, 73 nucleotides. It matches the Rfam family "tRNA". From Rfam's summary of the family: Transfer RNA (tRNA) molecules are approximately 80 nucleotides in length. Lineage: Bacteria; Bacillati; Bacillota; Bacilli; Lactobacillales; Lactobacillaceae. The record is from Rfam.